Heterocephalus glaber (naked mole-rat) is the source of this 717-nucleotide long non-coding RNA. NCBI's taxonomy places the organism in Eukaryota, Metazoa, Chordata, Mammalia, Rodentia, Bathyergidae. The record is from Ensembl.
ACAUCUUAGAGACCCCCAGACAGCCCGGGGAGAUGCCUGUUUUAAUCCAGGUCUCAUAAAUACUUCCUGGCACCGCCACCACAGAGUCCAAAGCACGCGGGGAUGAGGGUUCUAGGAGCGAGACCAACUUUUCGAGUUUCCUGCUGCUGUCUGGACGAUGAAACGUGAACAAAGUGUGCACAUAUGUCAUCAUAAAGUAAUGCCCAGCUAGGUGCUAUCGGGGAAGGCAAAGUAUGCUGGCUACAGGAAGUGAUACCGUACGCUGACAAUCACACCGUACAACAGCGCCAAACGACUAUUCAACCACUUACCAGACACAUAUGAAAAAUCCAAAAUGUUUUAUUUUAUUUUUUUUCCCUUAAAUAGAGAUAACCAGUAAACAAUUUUCAGAACUUGGAAGUUUAAAAACGUGCAUAUAAAAAUGGGCAUUAUAUACUUUUUAUUGAAUGUGGAUUGACUGCAGUCUGCUAAGAAAAAUGGGGUGUGGGUACUGAAGAAAAGGAGUCGUCUUUUUUUAAGGCUUGCUUGUGAAAGGAACAGUUGUAAAAACAAAAUUGCUUGAAGCAGGGUCAGCUUAGUGCUUCACAGUUUGACUGCUUCUCUAAGAGGAGCCCUUCCUGCGCACGUGCAUUCAAAAAUCACAAAAAAGUACAAAGACAAACACCUAAAACACACUGCGUCAAGUGCAGCACUGACUUUGGUCAAAUUAAAAAAAAA